UACAGAGGUCUCAAGCGUUGUUCGGAUUCAUUGGGCGUAAAGGGUGCGUAGGCGGCGCGGUAAGUCGGGUGUGAAAUCUUGGAGCUUAACUCCGAAACUGCAUUCGAUACUGCCGUGCUUGAGGACUGGAGAGGAGACUGGAAUUUACGGUGUAGCGGUGAAAUGCGUAGAUAUCGUAAGGAAGACCAGUGGCGAAGGCGGGUCUCUGGUCAGUUCCUGACGCUGAGGCACGAAGGCCAGGGGAGCAAACGGG
Molecule: ribosomal RNA, 253 nt
Filed under: uncultured bacterium
Lineage: Bacteria
Description: partial 16S ribosomal RNA
Rfam family: Bacterial small subunit ribosomal RNA
Source: RNAcentral